GACGAACGCUGGCGGCGUGCUUAACACAUGCAAGUCGAACGGAAAGGCCUCUUUCGGGGGGUACUCGAGUGGCGAACGGGUGAGUAACACGUGAGUAACCUGCCCUUGACUUUGGGAUAACUUCCGGAAACUGGGGCUAAUACCGGCUAGGAGCUCCUGCUGCAUGGUGGGGGUUGGAAAGUUUCGGCGGUUGGGGAUGGACUCGCGGCUUAUCAGCUUGUUGGUGGGGUAGUGGCUUACCAAGGCUUUGACGGGUAGCCGGCCUGAGAGGGUGACCGGCCACAUUGGGACUGAGAGACGGCCCAGACUCCUACGGGAGGCAGCAGUGGGGAAUAUUGAACAAUGGGUGGAAGCCUGAUGCAGCAACGCCGUGUGCGGGAUGACGGCCUUCGGGUUGUAAACCGCUUUCGCUCAUGACGAAGCUUUGUGUGACGGUAGUGGGUAAAGAAGCACCGGCUAACUACGUG
RNAcentral lists this ribosomal RNA (467 nucleotides) under uncultured bacterium. RNAcentral describes it as "partial 16S ribosomal RNA". It matches the Rfam family "Bacterial small subunit ribosomal RNA", at positions 28 to 507 of the family's 1533-position model. The record is from RNAcentral.